UACAGUCAGUAGCCUACUAAGUACAAGAAAUCAGUAGGCUACGUUAAGUAGGAAGUAAUGUGGAUUACAGGUCCAUUUUACACUGUCAGCGCUGACUGGAGAAAUCAGCAUGGAUCUACAUAAGCUUCCUGGAACAAAGCUACACUGGCCCAGCAUAGUCAAUUCACAAGUGCCUCCAACAUCAACAUGUUUUAUUAUUUUACCAAGACCAAGGCCUCAUCCAGUAUGUCCAAAGCCUCCACCGAGACAGCCUUGUUGCGGUCGUGUAACUGAGUCACCAGCAGUUCAAUACCCCAGUUGCUGAAGAACUCCACGUUAGCUCGAAGUAGCACCCGCAGAUGCUUGGU
This is a long non-coding RNA of Cyprinus carpio (common carp), 347 nucleotides long. RefSeq lists it as uncharacterized. The record is from RefSeq and is a predicted model, not a curated record. NCBI's taxonomy places the organism in Eukaryota, Metazoa, Chordata, Actinopteri, Cypriniformes, Cyprinidae.